GACGAACGCUGGCGGCGUGCUUAACACAUGCAAGUCGAGCGGUAAGGCCCUUUCGGGGGUACACGAGCGGCGAACGGGUGAGUAACACGUGGGUGACCUGCCCUCAGCUCUGGGAUAAGCCCGGGAAACUGGGUCUAAUACCGGAUAUGACUCCAUGACGCAUGUUGUGGGGUGGAAAGCCUUGUGCGGCUGAGGAUGGGCCCGCGGCCUAUCAGCUUGUUGGUGGGGUGAUGGCCUACCAAGGCGACGACGGGUAGCCGGCCUGAGAGGGCGACCGGCCACACUGGGACUGAGACACGGCCCAGACUCCUACGGGAGGCAGCAGUGGGGAAUCUUGCGCAAUGGGCGAAAGCCUGACGCAGCGACGCCGCGUGAGGGAUGACGGCCUGGUGUA
This 394-nucleotide ribosomal RNA is filed under the name uncultured bacterium. Its description in RNAcentral is "bacterial SSU rRNA". It matches the Rfam family "Bacterial small subunit ribosomal RNA", at positions 28 to 427 of the family's 1533-position model. The record is from RNAcentral.